CGUUGCGGUUUAAUUGGAUUCAACGCCGGAAAUCUUACCGGGACCGACAGCAAUAUGAAGGCCAGGCUGAAGACUUUGCCGGAUUAGCUGAGAGGUGGUGCAUGGCCGUCGUCAGUUCGUACUGUGAAGCAUCCUGUUAAGUCAGGCAACGAGCGAGACCCACGCCCACAGUUGCCAGCGUACUCUCUGGAGUGACGGGUACACUGUGGGACCGCCGCUGCUAAAGCGGAGGAAGGAAUGGGCAACGGUAGGUCAGUAUGCCCCGAAUAUCCCGGGCUACACGCGAGCUACAAUGGUUGGUACAAUGGGUAUCUACCCCGAAAGGGGACGGGAAUCUCCUAAAACCAAUCUUAGUUCGGAUUGAGGGCUGCAACUCGCCCUCAUGAAGCUGGAAUCCGUAGUAAUCGCGUUUCAACAGAACGCGGUGAAUACGUCCCUGCUCCUU
RNAcentral lists this ribosomal RNA (445 nucleotides) under uncultured Methanosaeta sp. Its description in RNAcentral is "bacterial SSU rRNA". It matches the Rfam family "Archaeal small subunit ribosomal RNA", at positions 894 to 1338 of the family's 1478-position model. The record is from RNAcentral. Lineage: Archaea; Methanobacteriati; Methanobacteriota; Methanomicrobia; Methanotrichales; Methanotrichaceae.